AUGGAUGCACAGACACACACCUGAGCGCAAUGCCUUGAAAGCGAUGCUUUCGUGUCGAGUUCCGAGUGCACGAAGCAAGCGUAAAUGUGACGCUUGAGUGGCACCUGCUGCGCUGGCAGUCUUAGCCCGGAUCCUAGAAGCAUACAUAAUGAUGUUGCGUUCGGUCCGCGGCCCCGACACGCUCGAUCGCGAGAAGGAACCCCACGCCUAUUCAAACAGGUGUGCAUUCGCAUCGUCACGGUUUAACGCUGAAACAGUCGCAACUGGGCUUCCAUGACCCUGAGGCCGAGGAGGCGAUCCAAUUCUGAGCCUUUCCACAGGCGCGGUGGUCUCUGUUCACCGCCGUGACGCGAGCUGUAUUUCCAGCAGGCAUUGCACUGCGCCCUUUGCAAUCUUCUGCCUGGGCUACCCGCGAUUUGAGCCAAAAGCGUCGGAGAGUUGAGCCAGCCUUCCCCGAUUUCGAUGAGACCAAGCUCGUCGUCUUCCAUCCGAUGCCAGCUCGGCGCGUCAUUGACUCCACAGUUGAGGCAGAACCGUGUUUCCUGCCGUUUCCGCCAAAUAGAUGCGAUCUUAAAGGCGUCGAGUUCUGACGGUACACGCAGGCGUACAAGGAAUCGGGUACGGGUUGCAUCCGCUCGCACCGGCUGUUCGGUGAGCAGUCGCGGAAGGCGUAGAUGUUCAGGAACUAUUGAUGCUCGAAGCGCGCUCUCCAAUGAGACCCAGCCUGAGUGCGGCACAACCCGCUGUUGCCCCCGUGAGCGAUCGAGCGCACGUUCUGAAGGUGACGACGACGUUGUCACCGGCGAGCCCGUCGCCAUCGAAGGCGGUUUCCAUUCAAUAUGAUCUGGGGGCGGAAUCGGCGUCGGUACUCUCGUCAUAGGUGGUGACAACUCCGCACUGGUGGAAACCGGCGAUAUCUGAUUAGAUCUGAUUGAUUGUCGGGCAUCUGGCUGAGUCCACUCGAAAACGUCUCCUCCAUCGUGAACGGCAACGGCGGGCCGGAGCGGUCCGGCCUUCCACGACUGUUGCAUGGGGAACGAUGGUCGGGUGGCAGGCAGCCCGGCACCAUCCCUGCUGAGUGGAGCCGUCGCACUGCGGAACGUGUCACCCGUAUGGAUACCAGUCGCUACAUGUGACCCCUGAUGCCCGUUCCGAUAUCGUUCGCUGGGUGUGACGAUGGAUUUGCCUUCAGCAAACACGCUUCUCGAGGCCUGUGGUUCCGUCGAGUGCGACGCGAGUCCUCGGCCCGGGGGCGCGUCGUGCGCGGAAAAACCGCCCGGCAUCGAAGCUGUUGGUAUUCUAUCAUCAUCUAUGACAUGUACUCGAAGGGGGUUUCCAGCCAUGAUCAUCACUGGCUGUUCUCUGUUGGUGCCUGAACCCUUGCUCUCAAUCGAAAUUCGCGUCCCCAGAGCACUCGAAUACAGAUUUCUGUUGUCCAUGAAGUAAGCAAGCGUAUUUCCCUCCGAGUUUCUUGAAGGAGCAGCGUGGACUUUGUCGUGGCUUCUCAAGCUCGUCGCGUCUGUCGAGGCGUUAGUCUCAGUCUGGCAAAGCCCGGACCCGCGCCGUUCUCCCAGAGUCGCGACAAAAGCGUCGCACGAUAUGUUUUUACGGGAAGGACAACGGUUUUGCGGGCCUCGAGGCUGGACCAAGGCACCGAGGGUAGCGCCAGAGUUCGUAGAACCCACCCCAAGCAAAACAAGACCGACGGCUCGUCGUUUCUUGCAGGACGGUUGGACAGAGAAAUCUAAAUAACUUCUUGAAAGAUC
Molecule: unclassified non-coding RNA, 1766 nt
Filed under: Cyanidioschyzon merolae strain 10D
Lineage: Eukaryota; Rhodophyta; Bangiophyceae; Cyanidiales; Cyanidiaceae
Description: hypothetical transcript
Source: RNAcentral